RNAcentral lists this ribosomal RNA (497 nucleotides) under uncultured bacterium. RNAcentral's name for it is "partial 16S ribosomal RNA". It matches the Rfam family "Bacterial small subunit ribosomal RNA", at positions 28 to 507 of the family's 1533-position model. The record is from RNAcentral.
GAUGAACGCUGGCGGCGUGCCUAAUACAUGCAAGUCGAGCGAACAGACGAGGAGCUUGCUCCUCUGACGUUAGCGGCGGACGGGUGAGUAACACGUGGAUAACCUACCUAUAAGACUGGGAUAACUUCGGGAAACCGGAGCUAAUACCGGAUAAUAUAUUGAACCGCAUGGUUCAAUAGUGAAAGACGGUUUUGCUGUCACUUAUAGAUGGAUCCGCGCCGCAUUAGCUAGUUGGUAAGGUAACGGCUUACCAAGGCAACGAUGCGUAGCCGACCUGAGAGGGUGAUCGGCCACAUUGGAACUGAGACACGGUCCAGACUCCUACGGGAGGCAGCAGUAGGGAAUCUUCCGCAAUGGGCGAAAGCCUGACGGAGCAACGCCGCGUGAGUGAUGAAGGUCUUCGGAUCGUAAAACUCUGUUAUUAGGGAAGAACAAAUGUGUAAGUAACUAUGCACGUCUUGACGGUACCUAAUCAGAAAGCCACGGCUAACUACGUG